This 217-nucleotide long non-coding RNA is filed under the name Setaria italica (foxtail millet). RNAcentral's name for it is "long non-coding RNA (SITA_LNC000070)". The record is from RNAcentral. Lineage: Eukaryota; Viridiplantae; Streptophyta; Magnoliopsida; Poales; Poaceae.
CUGAGUUCAAUUUAAUGGCAAUGACGCUUUAUGCAUCUCCUUUGCUCAAACUUCAUCAGAAUGAGCGAAUGCUCUCAGUUUGAAUCAUAGAAAAAAAACAUGUGCAAGUCAGAAAUAGUAGCAACAACAGGUCUGGGACUCAUCAGCUGAGGCAGGUGCAAAUGACAUCACAUAUUGUAGUAACACCAGGUCUAAGAUCAUGGGUGCAUGCAAUUUU